Molecule: non-coding RNA, 98 nt
Filed under: Spiroplasma litorale
Lineage: Bacteria; Bacillati; Mycoplasmatota; Mollicutes; Entomoplasmatales; Spiroplasmataceae
Description: Guanine sequence
Rfam family: Purine riboswitch aptamer
About the family: Riboswitches are metabolite binding domains within certain messenger RNAs that serve as precision sensors for their corresponding targets.
Source: RNAcentral
AAUAAAUUUAUAAUAUCAUUUUAUAUAUGCUUGAAAUAUGGUCGAGCGUUUCUACAAAUAACCUUAAAUUAUUUUCUAUAAAAUGAGUCAUAUAACAA